GGAUUAGAUACCCUGGUAGUCCACGCCGUAAACGAUGGAUACUAGCUGUAUGUCUACUUCAGGUAGAUGUGUGGCUAAGCGAAAGUGAUAAGUAUCCCACCUGGGGAGUACGAUCGCAAGAUUGAAACUCAAAGGAAUUGACGGGGGCCCGCACAAGCGGUGGAGCAUGUGGUUUAAUUCGAUGAUACGCGAGGAACCUUACCAGGGCUUAAAUGUUAGGUGACAGAUCUAGAAAUAGAUUUUUCUUCGGACUACUUACAAGGUGCUGCAUGGUUGUCGUCAGCUCGUGUUG
Molecule: ribosomal RNA, 292 nt
Filed under: uncultured bacterium
Lineage: Bacteria
Description: partial 16S ribosomal RNA
Rfam family: Bacterial small subunit ribosomal RNA
Source: RNAcentral